This 253-nucleotide ribosomal RNA is filed under the name uncultured bacterium. RNAcentral describes it as "partial 16S ribosomal RNA". It matches the Rfam family "Bacterial small subunit ribosomal RNA", at positions 524 to 776 of the family's 1533-position model. The record is from RNAcentral.
UACGUAGGGCGCAAGCGUUAUCCGGAAUCAUUGGGCGUAAAGAGCGCGUAGGCGGUCCGGUAAGUCCGCUGUGAAAGUCAAGGGCUCAACCCUUGAAUGCCGGUGGAUACUGUCGGGCUAGAGUCCGGAAGAGGCGAGUGGAAUUCCUGGUGUAGCGGUGAAAUGCGCAGAUAUCAGGAGGAACACCGAUGGCGAAGGCAGCUCGCUGGGACGGUACUGACGCUGAGGCGCGAAAGCGUGGGGAGCAAACAGG